Molecule: non-coding RNA, 45 nt
Organism: Schistosoma rodhaini
Lineage: Eukaryota; Metazoa; Platyhelminthes; Trematoda; Strigeidida; Schistosomatidae
Source: Rfam
AUCCAGCUGACAAGUCCCAAAUAGGACGAAACGUACUUCCUGGAU